AGUAAAUUGGUUAAGUUAGAAAGGGCGCACGGUGGAUGCCUUGGCACUAGGAGCCGAAGAAGGACGGGACUAACACCGAUAUGCUUUGGGGAGCUGUACGUAAGCGUUGAUCCAGAGAUUUCCGAAUGGGGGAACCCACUAUCUUUAGUCGGAUAGUAUCCUUACGUGAAUACAUAGCGUGAGGAAGGCAGACCCAGGGAACUGAAACAUCUAAGUACCUGGAGGAAGAGAAA
This 233-nucleotide ribosomal RNA is filed under the name Listeria monocytogenes. Its description in RNAcentral is "partial 23S ribosomal RNA". It matches the Rfam family "Bacterial large subunit ribosomal RNA", at positions 1 to 224 of the family's 2925-position model. The record is from RNAcentral. Lineage: Bacteria; Bacillati; Bacillota; Bacilli; Caryophanales; Listeriaceae.